Long non-coding RNA from Neopsephotus bourkii (Bourke's parrot), 2671 nucleotides. RefSeq lists it as uncharacterized. The record is from RefSeq and is a predicted model, not a curated record. NCBI's taxonomy places the organism in Eukaryota, Metazoa, Chordata, Aves, Psittaciformes, Psittacidae. The transcript is spliced from 3 exons.
GGAAAGGUUUUGGUUAGUGGGACCUAACCUCUCAAGUCAUGCAGAAGCUGGAUGCCGACAGCACAGUAGAUGCAUUUAAAAAUGAAAAUAUAAGCUAUAGAAAAAGAAAGGAACAAAGAUCCAUCUUAUGUUCUCCCACAAGCAGAUGGACUGAAAAAGGAAGGGUCAUCUCCACAUACGGAAACUUACGCCAGAGUCACCUGGAAAAGGAGAGGAAACAAUUACUAGUUGUCUACAAAUGCAGUGGAAGUCUGAGCUGGUCCUUCCAGGAGGACAGUGUCAAAUCUUGUGUCCAGAUCAUGCAGAUUCAACUCACAUUCAGAAGUGAUUACUUUUUACAGAGUGCAGAGCCUUCUCACUCACAUGAAGGCUGUUUCCUUAUGGCUGAGUCUCAGCUGGUGUAGUCUUGUGUAUCUCUGCUGACCUGAGUAUGGUUUUGCUUUCACACAAGUUGUUUCCUUCUGGUCUUGAAUUUUGUUCCCUUUCGUUAAAUGCCAACCUUGGUUAGGCUUGCUUUUUCCAGUGUUUAAGAAAAGGGAGUCACCCUACGUACAGAUGAGAGCAAGAUACCUGUGGGUAUUUCUGCUGGAAAACAUGCAGUUUAGGGUGGGUGACUAGGGCACAAAUUCCAGGGCCGGCUUAUACUCAGUUGUGUUGCAGUUUUCUAAUACAUAGGAAAAUGCAGAAUAAAAGAUUCUAAGGAAAUUGUAGAAUGGUUUGGGUUGGAAGGGACCUUAAAGAUCACUUUGUUGUAACAAACAUGAGGACAUUGAAAUCAUCUUACUCCAUUUUAUCCAGUGUUUAUGGUUAACUGGAGUGAUCAGAUAAACACAUAAUUUAAAUCUUAGAUGAACACGGCAUUUUAGAAAGUCUUUCACAAAUUAUGUUAGUGAAUAUAUCCUUUUUUCUUCAGCCAGUUUGUGUUUGCCAUUGUAUUCCUUGCUGGCAUGAUCUAAUGCUCUUUCAGAGCACACAAUAAGAUCCAGUAAAAAUAUUUUCAGCCUGUGCAUGACUUUGCUCUGCACAUGAGCUGAAAUCAUAUGAGCUAGCAUUUGUUCCUGAAUGUGUAUCUUCAGUCUAGUAAGUUGUUUUCAGUUCAGGGCUGAACCAAGAACUGAAGAUGCAUCCCAGCUAAGCAGUACACUUACUUGUUUUCCAGGAGUUAAAACAAGGGAACAACCAAAAGUGUAAUCUAAUAUCCAGCUGGUGCCAUUUCUUUGUCUGGGCAUCAUGGCAAACGCCAAAUAUUUGAGAAUAACAAUCCCCUUAGGUGACCCUUGUUGGUUGCUCCAGGCCUCCCACACUGCUGCCUCCCCACCCUCUGAAUGGACCCUUUUCCUGCACACUUGAGCCUGAAAUGGUAAAAAUGUAUCCUGAGCACCAAACUUUAAACUUCAUCUAUAAGAACAGUCCCUUUGCAAGCCAGGGGAGAGGGGAGCUGGGCAAAGAGAAAAGAAAUCAGUUGGGAAGCAGCUCUGGCAGUCAUUCACCCUGUUUCCUCUACCUCUCUCCUUGUGCCACAAGCAGUGCUGCCGGGGAAGGGGGAAGCCUCCCACGCUCCUGUAUGUGCCCCAUUUCACCCUUGGGUGCAGGGGAAGUAGCGGGAGCUGGGACUGGCCUGGCUGGCCUGAGCUGGGAGAGCACUGUGUAUUCAGGUUUCUUCAAGCAGGUCAGACACAGGGUUCCUCAUUUCUUCUCUGUCCUUACAACCACUGGAAAUAAUUUUCUACAAAUAGUGUGGAUGGCACAGUGUGCCUGGAUUUCUUUUUGCCCACUACCCAACCUCCAGCAGACCUGGAGCCAGAGGAAGCAUUUCAGCCCAGUGUCAGUGGAAGGCUGGAAGAUGUAGUGUCCUCAACAUGAUGGACUGCUUGAAGCAUUCCUCAGAGAGAACUGCGCUAUGAAGAAAACCUGUUCUGGUACAAAAGGGGAAGAGUUUCCUUCUUAAUGAGGUGAUAGGUGAUUGUUUAUAGCUAAAUCUUUCCCAAACACGUUGUCUAAAAACCAGCACUAGUUCAGAGAAAGGAAACUCAAAGUUCAUGAAACAGAGAUGUUUGUCUCUGACUCUGUGCUCUCUAAGCAAGCACAACCUUUAUUUCUGCUUACUGUAACACCCCAUGUGUACAAACACAACACAGUGGGUGAGUCGAAGGGUGGAGAUGGUGUUAAGAUGUUCUAACGUUAGACGUGUGCCCCUUACUGUUACAGGAAAACAAAUCCAACGAUGUAUUUGUGGCAAUGUAUGUUGGCCUUGUGGCCCCAGUGUUAGGCUAGCCAGCUGAAAUGCUCUUAUGUAACCAGUCUACCUGUUAAGGAGCUGUACAAACAUUUCUGGUAGCGCCGGCCUGAUUUUUUUUCUUGUUUUCUGUAGGAUUGGACUCUGUCUCUAAUUGCCGCCUUGUCCACUAACUUACCAUGAGCACUGUGUUCGAGGACAGAUGCUGCAGAUCCUUGCUUUGCUGUGGCAAAGGAGCUGGUGACAGACAGCUCCCCAGGGCUUGCCUGGCCUUUUUAGUGCAGACACAGUAAAAUGGCUCGGAUGAGAAUGGCAGGCUCAUACAGCUCCUUUGUAUGACUGAAGGAAUAUCCAAAAAGAUAGCCAUCAGUGAAAUAGUGCACUUUAUACUACCAGGGAACAUACUUUUGAACACAGCUAGGGGCAUUGUUCCUC